Molecule: ribosomal RNA, 207 nt
Filed under: uncultured Bacillota bacterium
Lineage: Bacteria; Bacillati; Bacillota
Description: uncultured Firmicutes bacterium partial 16S ribosomal RNA
Rfam family: Bacterial small subunit ribosomal RNA
Source: RNAcentral
CUUGAGAGGGUGACCGGCCACAUUGGGACUGAGACACGGCCCGAACUCCUACGGGAGGCAGCAGUGGGGAAUAUUGCACAAUGGAGGAAACUCUGAUGCAGCGACGCCGCGUGAGUGAAGAAGUAAUUCGUUAUGUAAAGCUCUAUCAGCAGGGAAGAUAGUGACGGUACCUGACUAAGAAGCUCCGGCUAAAUACGUGCCAGCAGC